This 1343-nucleotide ribosomal RNA is filed under the name uncultured bacterium. Its description in RNAcentral is "16S ribosomal RNA". It matches the Rfam family "Bacterial small subunit ribosomal RNA", at positions 28 to 1378 of the family's 1533-position model. The record is from RNAcentral.
GACGAACGCUGGCGGCGUGCUUAACACAUGCAAGUCGAACGGAAAGGCCCUGCUUUUGUGGGGUGCUCGAGUGGCGAACGGGUGAGUAACACGUGAGUAACCUGCCCUUGACUUUGGGAUAACUUCAGGAAACUGGGGCUAAUACCGGAUAGGAGCUCCUGCUGCAUGGUGGGGGUUGGAAAGUUUCGGCGGUUGGGGAUGGACUCGCGGCUUAUCAGCUUGUUGGUGGGGUAGUGGCUUACCAAGGCUUUGACGGGUAGCCGGCCUGAGAGGGUGACCGGCCACAUUGGGACUGAGAUACGGCCCAGACUCCUACGGGAGGCAGCAGUGGGGAAUAUUGCACAAUGGGCGGAAGCCUGAUGCAGCAACGCCGCGUGCGGGAUGACGGCCUUCGGGUUGUAAACCGCUUUCGCCUGUGACGAAGCGUGAGUGACGGUAAUGGGUAAAGAAGCACCGGCUAACUACGUGCCAGCAGCCGCGGUGAUACGUAGGGUGCGAGCGUUGUCCGGAUUUAUUGGGCGUAAAGGGCUCGUAGGUGGUUGAUCGCGUCGGAAGUGUAAUCUUGGGGCUUAACCCUGAGCGUGCUUUCGAUACGGGUUGACUUGAGGAAGGUAGGGGAGAAUGGAAUUACUGGUGGAGCGGUGGAAUGCGCAGAUAUCAGGAGGAACACCAGUGGCGAAGGCGGUUCUCUGGGCCUUUCCUGACGCUGAGGAGCGAAAGCGUGGGGAGCGAACAGGCUUAGAUACCCUGGUAGUCCACGCUGUAAACGGUGGGUACUAGGUGUGGGGUCCAUUCCACGGGUUCCGUGCCGUAGCUAACGCUUUAAGUACCCCGCCUGGGGAGUACGGCCGCAAGGCUAAAACUCAAAGGAAUUGACGGGGCCCCGCACAAGCGGCGGAGCAUGCGGAUUAAUUCGAUGCAACGCGUAGAACCUUACCUGGGUUUGACAUGGAUCGGGAGUGCUCAGAGAUGGGUGUGCCUCUUUUGGGGUCGGUUCACAGGUGGUGCAUGGCUGUCGUCAGCUCGUGUCGUGAGAUGUUGGGUUAAGUCCCGCAACGAGCGCAACCCUUGUUCACUGUUGCCAGCACGUUAUGGUGGGGACUCAGUGGAGACCGCCGGGGUCAACUCGGAGGAAGGUGGGGAUGACGUCAAGUCAUCAUGCCCCUUAUGUCCAGGGCUUCACGCAUGCUACAAUGGCUGGUACAGAGAGUGGCGAGCCUGUGAGGGUGAGCGAAUCUCGGAAAGCCGGUCUCAGUUCGGAUUGGGGUCUGCAACUCGACCUCAUGAAGUCGGAGUCGCUAGUAAUCGCAGAUCAGCAACGCUGCGGUGAAUACGUUCCCGGG